GCUGGCGUAGCACAGUGGUAGUGCAGCUGAUUCGUAAUCAGCAGGUCGGGGGUUCGAGUCCCUUCGCCAGCACCA
Molecule: transfer RNA, 75 nt
Filed under: Brevibacillus sp. SYP-B805
Lineage: Bacteria; Bacillati; Bacillota; Bacilli; Caryophanales; Paenibacillaceae
Description: tRNA-Thr
Rfam family: tRNA
About the family: Transfer RNA (tRNA) molecules are approximately 80 nucleotides in length. Their secondary structure includes four short double-helical elements and three loops (D, anti-codon, and T loops).
Source: RNAcentral